This 642-nucleotide ribosomal RNA is filed under the name uncultured Lactobacillus sp. Its description in RNAcentral is "bacterial SSU rRNA". It matches the Rfam family "Bacterial small subunit ribosomal RNA", at positions 1 to 648 of the family's 1533-position model. The record is from RNAcentral. Lineage: Bacteria; Bacillati; Bacillota; Bacilli; Lactobacillales; Lactobacillaceae.
UCGGCUUAGAGUUUGAUCCUGGCUCAGGACGAACGCUGGCGGCGUGCCUAAUACAUGCAAGUCGAACGAAUUGGUGCUUGCAUCAUUGAGUGGCGAACUGGUGAGUAACACGUGGGAAACCUGCCCAGAAGCGGGGGAUAACACCUGGAAACAGAUGCUAAUACCGCAUAACAACUUGACCGCAUGGUCCAAGUUGAAAGAUGUUCGUAUCACUUUUGGAUGGUCCCGCGGCGUAUUAGCUAGAUGGUGGGGUAACGGCUCACCAUGGCAAUGAUACGUAGCCGACCUGAGAGGGUAAUCGGCCACAUUGGGACUGAGACACGGCCCAAACUCCUACGGGAGGCAGCAGUAGGGAAUCUUCCACAAUGGACGAAAGUCUGAUGGAGCAACGCCGCGUGAGUGAAGAAGGGUUUCGGCUCGUAAAACUCUGUUGUUAAAGAAGAACAUAUCUGAGGUAAUUCAGGUAUUGACGGUAUUUAACCAGAAAGCCACGGCUAACUACGUGCCAGCAGCCGCGGUAAUACGUAGUGGCAAGCGUUGUCCGGAUUUAUUGGCGUAAAGCGAGCGCAGGCGGUUUUUAAGUCUGAUGUGAAAGCCUUCGGCUCAACCGAAGAAGUGCAUCGGAAACUGGAAACUUGAGUG